RNAcentral lists this long non-coding RNA (468 nucleotides) under Nicotiana tabacum (common tobacco). RNAcentral's name for it is "long non-coding RNA (NTAB_LNC003952)". The record is from RNAcentral. Lineage: Eukaryota; Viridiplantae; Streptophyta; Magnoliopsida; Solanales; Solanaceae.
AGGUGUUGGUUGCGUAGCUGAGGUUGCACUAGUUGAAACCUUAUUCUACAAUGAUCAUGGGAGGACAAAAAUGGAUAUGAACCAGCAUCGGCAAAAAAAAUAGAAAAAUCUGUAUUCACGCAGCUCAUGGAAGCAAAAAGUACCCUUAAAAUCAUCCAGGAAGAACAACUAUUUCUAACAAAACAAUAGAAAAAACCUUUGUGGAGCACAUGCUUAAAUUAUUCUGAAGAAUUGGUACCUUAGAAAGCAUUAUAACAACAAAACUAUUCUCAGCGACUUUGUUUUCCUCCAACGUUGUAGUGUCCUUGAGAACUUUACCCUGGUGGAUAAGCAUCUGUUGUGCAGCUGGGUAGAUAUCUUGACCUUGAGCUGUUUCUAUGUUUUUCUUCACAUCAGCAACCUGAAUAUUUAUUGCUAUGGACAUCAGUUUGUGCAACAGAGGAAAAAGGGAAAGAAGAAGGAAAGAAA